Molecule: ribosomal RNA, 468 nt
Filed under: uncultured bacterium
Lineage: Bacteria
Description: partial 16S ribosomal RNA
Rfam family: Bacterial small subunit ribosomal RNA
Source: RNAcentral
GACGAACGCUGGCGGCGUGCUUAACACAUGCAAGUCGAACGGAAAGGCCCUGCUUUUGUGGGGUGCUCGAGUGGCGAACGGGUGAGUAACACGUGAGUAACCUGCCCUUGACUUUGGGAUAACUUCAGGAAACUGGGGCUAAUACCGGAUAGGAGCUCCUGCUGCAUGGUGGGGGUUGGAAAGUUUCGGCGGUUGGGGAUGGACUCGCGGCUUAUCAGCUUGUUGGUGGGGUAGUGGCUUACCAAGGCUUUGACGGGUAGCCGGCCUGGGAGGGUGACCGGCCACAUUGGGACUGAGAUACGGCCCAGACUCCUACGGGAGGCAGCAGUGGGGAAUAUUGCACAAUGGGCGGAAGCCUGAUGCAGCAACACCGCGUGCGGGAUGACGGCCUUCGGGUUGUAAACCGCUUUCGCCUGUGACGAAGCGUGAGUGACGGUAAUGGGUAAAGAAGCACCGGCUAACUACGUG